UACGGAGGAUCCGAGCGUUAUCCGGAUUUAUUGGGUUUAAAGGGUGCGUAGGCGGACUAAUAAGUCAGUUGUGAAAGUUUGCGGCUCAACCGUAAAAUUGCAGUUGAUACUGUUAUUCUUGAGUGUACAUAAGGUAGGCGGAAUUCGUGGUGUAGCGGUGAAAUGCUUAGAUAUCACGAAGAACUCCAAUUGCGAAGGCAGCUUACCGGGGUACAACUGACGCUGAGGCACGAAAGUGUGGGUAUCAAAC
RNAcentral lists this ribosomal RNA (250 nucleotides) under uncultured bacterium. RNAcentral's name for it is "partial 16S ribosomal RNA". It matches the Rfam family "Bacterial small subunit ribosomal RNA", at positions 524 to 773 of the family's 1533-position model. The record is from RNAcentral.